RNAcentral lists this ribosomal RNA (1372 nucleotides) under uncultured bacterium. RNAcentral describes it as "bacterial SSU rRNA". It matches the Rfam family "Bacterial small subunit ribosomal RNA", at positions 28 to 1381 of the family's 1533-position model. The record is from RNAcentral.
GAUGAACGCUGGCGGCGUGCCUAAUACAUGCAAGUCGAGCGAACAGAUAAGGAGCUUGCUCCUUUGAAGUUAGCGGCGGACGGGUGAGUAACACGUGGGUAACCUACCUAUAAGACUGGGAUAACUUCGGGAAACCGGAGCUAAUACCGGAUAACAUUUAGAACCGCAUGGUCCUAAAGUGAAAGAUGGUUUUGCUAUCACUUAUAGAUGGACCCGCGCCGUAUUAGCUAGUUGGUAAGGUAACGGCUUACCAAGGCGACGAUACGUAGCCGACCUGAGAGGGUGAUCGGCCACACUGGAACUGAGACACGGUCCAGACUCCUACGGGAGGCAGCAGUAGGGAAUCUUCCGCAAUGGGCGAAAGCCUGACGGAGCAACGCCGCGUGAGUGAUGAAGGGUUUCGGCUCGUAAAACUCUGUUAUUAGGGAAGAACAAAUGUGUAAGUAACUGUGCACAUCUUGACGGUACCUAAUCAGAAAGCCACGGCUAACUACGUGCCAGCAGCCGCGGUAAUACGUAGGUGGCAAGCGUUAUCCGGAAUUAUUGGGCGUAAAGCGCGCGUAGGCGGUUUCUUAAGUCUGAUGUGAAAGCCCACGGCUCAACCGUGGAGGGUCAUUGGAAACUGGGAAACUUGAGUGCAGAAGAGGAAAGUGGAAUUCCAUGUGUAGCGGUGAAAUGCGCAGAGAUAUGGAGGAACACCAGUGGCGAAGGCGACUUUCUGGUCUGUAACUGACGCUGAUGUGCGAAAGCGUGGGGAUCAAACAGGAUUAGAUACCCUGGUAGUCCACGCCGUAAACGAUGAGUGCUAAGUGUUAGGGGGUUUCCGCCCCUUAGUGCUGCAGCUAACGCAUUAAGCACUCCGCCUGGGGAGUACGACCGCAAGGUUGAAACUCAAAGGAAUUGACGGGGACCCGCACAAGCGGUGGAGCAUGUGGUUUAAUUCGAAGCAACGCGAAGAACCUUACCAAAUCUUGACAUCCUUUGAAAACUCUAGAGAUAGAGCCUUCCCCUUCGGGGGACAAAGUGACAGGUGGUGCAUGGUUGUCGUCAGCUCGUGUCGUGAGAUGUUGGGUUAAGUCCCGCAACGAGCGCAACCCUUAAGCUUAGUUGCCAUCAUUAAGUUGGGCACUCUAGGUUGACUGCCGGUGACAAACCGGAGGAAGGUGGGGAUGACGUCAAAUCAUCAUGCCCCUUAUGAUUUGGGCUACACACGUGCUACAAUGGACAAUACAAAGGGCAGCUAAACCGCGAGGUCAUGCAAAUCCCAUAAAGUUGUUCUCAGUUCGGAUUGUAGUCUGCAACUCGACUACAUGAAGCUGGAAUCGCUAGUAAUCGUAGAUCAGCAUGCUACGGUGAAUACGUUCCCGGGUCU